GAACGCUGGCGGCGUGCCUAAUACAUGCAAGUAGAACGCUGAAGAGAGGAGCUUGCUCUUCUUGGAUGAGUUGCGAACGGGUGAGUAACGCGUAGGUAACCUGCCUUGUAGCGGGGGAUAACUAUUGGAAACGAUAGCUAAUACCGCAUAACAAUGGAUGACACAUGUCAUUUAUUUGAAAGGGGCAAUUGCUCCACUACAAGAUGGACCUGCGUUGUAUUAGCUAGUAGGUGAGGUAACGGCUCACCUAGGCGACGAUACAUAGCCGACCUGAGAGGGUGAUCGGCCACACUGGGACUGAGACACGGCCCAGACUCCUACGGGAGGCAGCAGUAGGGAAUCUUCGGCAAUGGGGGCAACCCUGACCGAGCAACGCCGCGUGAGUGAAGAAGGUUUUCGGAUCGUAAAGCUCUGUUGUAAGUCAAGAACGAGUGUGAGAGUGGAAAGUUCACACUGUGACGGUAGCUUACCAGAAAGGGACGGCUAACUACGUGCCAGCAGCCGCGGUAAUACGUAGGUCCCGAGCGUUGUCCGGAUUUAUUGGGCGUAAAGCGAGCGCAGGCGGUUUGAUAAGUCUGAAGUUAAAGGCUGUGGCUCAACCAUAGUUCGCUUUGGAAACUGUCAAACUUGAGUGCAGAAGGGGAGAGUGGAAUUCCAUGUGUAGCGGUGAAAUGCGUAGAUAUAUGGAGGAACACCGGUGGCGAAAGCGGCUCUCUGGUCUGUAACUGACGCUGAGGCUCGAAAGCGUGGGGAGCGAACAGGAUUAGAUACCCUGGUAGUCCACGCCGUAAACGAUGAGUGCUAGGUGUUGGAUCCUUUCCGGGAUUCGGUGCCGCAGCUAACGCAUUAAGCACUCCGCCUGGGAGUACGACCGCCAAGGUU
RNAcentral lists this ribosomal RNA (882 nucleotides) under uncultured Streptococcus sp. RNAcentral describes it as "bacterial SSU rRNA". It matches the Rfam family "Bacterial small subunit ribosomal RNA", at positions 31 to 895 of the family's 1533-position model. Lineage: Bacteria; Bacillati; Bacillota; Bacilli; Lactobacillales; Streptococcaceae. The record is from RNAcentral.